RNAcentral lists this ribosomal RNA (261 nucleotides) under Cellulomonas sp. ISOM256_OTU4438. RNAcentral's name for it is "partial 16S ribosomal RNA". It matches the Rfam family "Bacterial small subunit ribosomal RNA", at positions 29 to 289 of the family's 1533-position model. The record is from RNAcentral. Lineage: Bacteria; Bacillati; Actinomycetota; Actinomycetes; Micrococcales; Cellulomonadaceae.
ACGAACGCUGGCGGCGUGCUUAACACAUGCAAGUCGAACGGUGAUGGCCAGCUUGCUGGUCUGAUCAGUGGCGAACGGGUGAGUAACACGUGAGCAACCUGCCCCAGACUCUGGAAUAACCAUGGGAAACGAUGGCUAAUACCGGAUACGAGACGCACACGCAUGUGUGGUGUCUGGAAAGAUUUAUCGGUCUGGGAUGGGCUCGCGGCCUAUCAGCUUGUUGGUGGGGUAGUGGCCUACCAAGGCGACGACGGGUAGCCG